This 333-nucleotide unclassified non-coding RNA is filed under the name soil metagenome. RNAcentral's name for it is "partial contains 5.8S ribosomal RNA, internal transcribed spacer 2, and large subunit ribosomal RNA". The stretch from base 1 to 120 matches the Rfam family "5.8S ribosomal RNA", at positions 35 to 154 of the family's 154-position model. The record is from RNAcentral.
GAUGAAGAACGCAGCGAAAUGCGAUAAGUAAUGUGAAUUGCAGAAUUCAGUGAAUCAUCGAAUCUUUGAACGCACAUUGCGCCCGCCAGUAUUCUGGCGGGCAUGCCUGUUCGAGCGUCAUUUCAACCAUCAAGCCCCCGGCUUGUGUUGGGGACCUGCGGCUGCCGCAGGCCCUGAAAACCAGUGGCGGGCUCGCUAGUCACUCCGAGCGUAGUAAUACAUCUCGCUCAGGGCGUGCUGCGGGUUCCGGCCGUUAAAAGCCUUAUUUACCCAAGGUUGACCUCGGAUCAGGUAGGAAGACCCGCUGAACUUAAGCAUAUAAUAAGCGGAGGA